UUGACCUCGAAUCAGGUAGGAAUACCCGCUGAACUUAAGCAUAUCAAUAAGCGGAGGAAAAGAAACCAACCGGGAUUACCUCAGUAACGGCGAGUGAAGCGGUAACAGCUCAAAUUUGAAAUCUGGCUCUUGCGGAGUCCGAGUUGUAAUUUGUAGAAGAUGCUUUGGGUUGUGGGUUCGGCCUAAGUUCCUUGGAACAGGACGUCAUAGAGGGUGAGAAUCCCGUAUGUGGCCGAGGCCCGCGCCUAUGUAAAGCUCUUUCAACGAGUCGAGUUGUUUGGGAAUGCAGCUCAAAAUGGGUGGUAAAUUUCAUCUAAAGCUAAAUAUGGGCCAGAGACCGAUAGCGCACAAGUAGAGUGAUCGAAAGAUGAAAAGCACUUUGGAAAGAGAGUUAAACAGUACGUGAAAUUGUUGAAAGGGAAGCGCUUGCAACCAGACUUGGGCGCUGCCGAUCACCUUGAGUUUUCUCGAGUGCACUCGACAGCGCACAGGCCAGCAUCGGUUCGGGUGGCUGGAUAAAGGCCGUAGGAAUGUGGCUCUCUUCGGGGAGUGUUAUAGCCUACGGUGCCAUGCAGCCCAGCCGGACCGAGGACCGCGCCUUCGGGCUAGGAUGCUGGCGUAAUGGUUGUAAGCGACCCGUCUUGAAACACGGACCAAGGAGUCUAACAUCUAUGCGAGUGUUUGGGUGGUAAACCCAUACGCGGAAUGAAAGUGAACGUAGGUGAGAACCCCUUUGGGGCGCAUCAUCGACCGAUCCUGAUGUCUUCGGAUGGAUUUGAGUAAGAGCAUAGCUGUUGGGACCCGAAAGAUGGUGAACUAUGCCUGAAUAGGGUGAAGCCAGAGGAAACUCUGGUGGAGGCUCGCAGCGGUUCUGACGUGCAAAUCGAUCGUCAAAUUUGGGCAUAGGGGCGAAA
RNAcentral lists this ribosomal RNA (914 nucleotides) under Erysiphe quercicola. RNAcentral's name for it is "eukaryotic LSU rRNA". It matches the Rfam family "Eukaryotic large subunit ribosomal RNA", at positions 1 to 928 of the family's 3401-position model. The record is from RNAcentral. Lineage: Eukaryota; Fungi; Ascomycota; Leotiomycetes; Helotiales; Erysiphaceae.